Drosophila yakuba is the source of this 3532-nucleotide long non-coding RNA. RefSeq lists it as uncharacterized. Lineage: Eukaryota; Metazoa; Arthropoda; Insecta; Diptera; Drosophilidae. The record is from RefSeq and is a predicted model, not a curated record. The transcript has 3 exons.
UUUUACGUAGGGUAUUAAGAAUUGAGAGGAGAGUGCCCCCUGAACUCGAGAACUCGAGAAUCCGAGAAUCCGAGAGAGAUGUCCAACUAAGUUGGGCACUGAAGUGCUCUGCGCUUAUGUCUCAUUAGAGAUACUUUGCCGGCGAAUCAUCGUCGUUGUCGUGGAUGCUUUGCUACUUUGCUACUUUGCUACUUCUGCUGCUGCUGGUGUCUUCUUCUGGGGCCUGACCUCGCAGUGGCGUGGCUUUAUAAAAAGACACAGAUUAGUAAUGCUCUCAAGUGUGGUCCCAUUCCAGCCCCCUCCGCCACAUCUGUAUGUGGGGGCACACAACGCACAACACACAGCACACAAGUGCGAGUGUAAUGUGUGUGUAAGUAGCAGCGCAAAGUGUCAGCUUUGGAGGCAGACUUAAGCAUAAGAAAGCUUUGCGCCAAGAGGGAAAAUGAAAGAAAAACCAACGUUAAAUUAGUGGCAAUUGUGCGCGACAUGUGUAGAGUGCCCGUGGCCACCGCCGAUCCCCGAAAUCCCCGCACUUACUCGUAACUAUUUAUUUAGUCGACUUUCGCAGCUUCAGAUACAUAUGUAUCUUCUGAGGCUCAAGACGAAAUGGCCAGCGAUUUGUUGGAUAAGUUUCUAAACUGGCGCUGCCCGUAAAUAUCGCAGAUUUCAGAAACUCUAUUAAUGGCUCUGGUAGCCACUGAUGAAGGCACUUCUUCUAAGGUCGAGCCAUAAAUUACUAACGCAUUUGUUACUACAGUAAACUUAUUUUGGAACUUUAUAUGCUUUCUAACCUCUUGCUUAAAAAAAAUAUAUUUGAGAAAAGACUGAUUGAUUACUAGUAAGGUUUCGCCUUCUGUAAAUCUCGAGGCAAGUCGGAAUGUUCGCUCUGCGUGUGCAAUUUGUGCCAAAGUUCUUGUUUAAAGACCGCGCCAAAAGGAGGCCAAACUAAUAAAGAUGAAAUGGAAAUUCAUUGCGAGAAAACGAGAACAGACGAACUACUAUGUGCGAUCAGUGGACUGAAGGCGGUGAGGGUUCAAGGCUGUUGGCGCGAGGAAAAUGUGGGAAAAUAUGCCGAGUUGGGUGGGGAAAUUGAAAGCUUAAGUGGGCAGGGAAUUGUGUGGAGGUGCUGGAUACAAAUAAUCGAGUUAAAAGCAUUUACACUCCGUUUCAUAGUUCAUUACAUACAAUAAUAUACUUCCUAAAAAAAUUGUAAAUAUUUUGCUUACAUUAAAAUCAUUAUGAGUAUGGUAGAAAUGUACUUCAUAACGACUUGUUUCAAGUGCCGUCUAAAUUACGUGCAAUGCUUACACAUAAAUAGGCACAUAAUUACAUUUGACCUGAUAUCGCAUUACCAAUUCCCUCAAAAUCAAUUAGAAUAAUCCAAUUGAAAUCACCUGGAAACCACACCAGACUAAGCCCCACAAUCAUUUCGAUAAUUGUCGAAUUAUAAGCCAAACAAGCAGCAAUGCUGAUCCUUGGAUCAUUGACGGCCUUCCCCAAUUAAUCUCACAGAGCUGGGUAAACCGUUUCUAGGGGCAAAUGCCCCGAAUUAAAUUCUAGGAAAAAUCCCCUUUAAAGCGUGCGGCACAGCAACAACAUGUUGCACGACCCACCACCCCUGGGCAGCAACCGUUUUGUCACAAGUCCUGCCGCAAAGCCCCACUAAAGAGGAGCGCAGGCUGCCACUUUCAGGUUCUGCCGCCCGCAAAUAAAAACAUUAAAUGCUUUGUUGGCCAUGUUUGCCCCGUUCUCUCCCCCAUUAAGCCACGCCCCCUACCCACCGCCCACCGCGUGGCAACGUGUUGGCCAUUCAUUCAGUCAUUAAGUGGCAGCUGACGCCGCAGGGGGUGGCCACCGACCCCCGACAAGGGGGGGAAUGGGAUCUGGAUCUGGAUCUGGGGCACAGCGACUCCCGCAAUUUGUGGCCAGCUAAAUAAUUUUUAUUACAAUUCGGUUUCGGCUUAAUGCUGUUUUAGUCAAUUUAUUAUUAAUAUCCUCGCUUGGCACUGGCGUCACUAUGCGCUUUCGAAAUUUUGUGGUUGGAUGGUUAGGUCACAGAUGGAUUUCUAUACAAGCUUAUUUUGGGCUCGAUGCAAGUUUGGCAGACUUGUGUCAUAUGUGUUAUAAAUCAAUACAAAUCAUAUAUAUUUUCAUUAAAAAUCACUGAGUUAUAUGCAUUUAUGUGUAAAUGGUACACUUUUGAAUAUCUGUUUAUAUUUUACUAAAUUAUUAAAACUUUUACAAAGUGUUUGUUGUUUAUAUAAUUAGUAAUAAGCUAAAUGAUAUCAAUAAAUGCUGAUAUCUUUUAAUAGAUGCAUAUAUUGUACAAAACAUCCCCUAGAAUCGCAGCCUUCGAUGCCGGGGACUUUUUGCCAUCGGCAAUUAAAAACUUUUCCAUUCUGUACUGGAGCUCGCUUAGCCGUCAACUAAGUCAACUAAGCACAUAAAAUACAUCCAAUGUUGCGGAACCAAGUGAACGAUUGAACUUUGCAGUUGGUCCAAGCACACACAAAUCAAGCCGAAAACCGCUGUAAAGUUUGGCACUUCUUCAAAGCGCUUUGGAGGCGGCACAUCAAAUUAACCUUGAAAUGUGAAUAACAUUUCGUCGAAGACUCGCAGCGCAUUUUAAUUGAAUUUAAUUAACAUUUUACUACGCCCGAUACUUUGGAUAUGGGAAAAGCGACGACGACGACGACGACGACGACGGCGAAACUGAAACCGGCGGACAAACAAAUGGACGGACGUGCGGACGGAUGGCAAUUGGCGGACAAGCCAAAAAGCCAAGUUGACAAUGAAGCUGGCGACGCAUGCGCGCAGACUAAUUGUCUCGCAAAAGGUUAGCGGUUAGCGGCAGGGGGGUGGAUUUGGCCCUGAGGGUGGCCAAUAAAAAAAGGUAGCAACAACUAUAUGGGCAACGUGACCCAGACAACAACAAAGCUCAUGGUGGGAAACAAACGAACGCUUGUGGGUGGUUCGCCGGCGGAGGAGGCGGUGGCCAGACAUUGCACUUGAAAUUCAAGACAAUGGAAAAUUUGUAAUGAUGGAUGUUGUCGGCGAUUGGAUUGCAAGGGUUCGAAAAGGCUUCCUUCCACCUGUCACAUUAUAACCCAUUUUGCCCAGCGAUUAACUGGUAUACAAAUAAAGUAUAGCAGGUAAUCGAAGAUUGGUGCAAUAAAAAUGAAAAAGGUGUACUUCAGUGUGAGAUCUCAUCUUACCAACAGCUUGGCUGCAAUCUGUAAAUGCGGAAAAAAAUGUUUGUGCAGGGCGUUGAAUGUCCAACUGAAAACCGAAAGAAAAACUCACAGAUUCAAAUGCAGCCAGAGCUGCAGGCACAGAUACAAGAGGCAGGAGUCGUUUGUUGGAGGUACGAGUAUAUAUGUGUUGGAGUCUCGCUGGGAUCAUAUUAAACGCUUAGCUGGACUUAACCACCACCCCCUCCGGAGGCACUUUUGGGACAGAGCUCGUCUGUCAACGGGAAUCCAGGAGGGAGCAAGUCAAAUGUGUGCAUUAAAUGUCAAUAACCAUAACUUAA